GCCCAGGAACUUCCACAUGCCUCAGACACAGCCAAAAAGAAAAAAAAAAAAAAAUACACUAUGAAUUCUUUUGUGACCUGCUCUUUUCCCUAAAUAUUCUGUAUGAGGUUUAUCCGUGUUGACAUAUGGAGUUCUACUUCAUCCAUUUACAUUGGUGUAUACUAUCUUUUAUAAAUGAUAUCAAUUUAUUUUUUCCUUAUUCUUUGUUGGAGGUUAUAUAGGGUAAAUACCUGUCUUCUACUGAGUUGUUUGAGGCAAAUAUCUUCUCUAAUUUAUAAUGUGUUUUACAGUUUUAGUGGUGUCAUUUGAUGAACAGAAGUUCUUGAUGUCUUCAAAUUGUUGGUGCACAUCUGCUUGGAUAAACAUAUUUUCCAUUAUCAUCUUCCAAAGGUUUUUCUUUAUACACUGCAUUUUUACUUAAUCUGAAAAUGAUUCUAUGUGUAAACGUGAGAUAGAUUGUGUCCAGUACUAUCUUUUUCUUCCAGAUGCCUACUUAUUUUCACAUUAUUCAUUGAGAGAUUAACCCAUUGAUUUGUUUAAAUAUUGUUUUCAUAUUAUGACCAUAUAUGUUUUGGGUUCUCUAUUCUGCCCUAGUAUUUCAUUUUCUUUUUCUAUGAAUUAAUCAUAGGUUUUAUAAUGUCUUCAUAUUUGUUAGAGUUAGUGCUACUGCCUUAUUUUUAUUUGAGAAGAAUUUUAGAAUUUCCUUGUCAAUGUCCACAAAAUCACCUGACAUGAUUAUUAUUGGAAUGAUGUCAACACAACACAUCAUUAAGGUGCAAAGCAACCUCUCUCUAUAGUUCUACCAGUCUUAAACAUGGUACAUCUCUUCAUUUAUUUAUACCUUCUUAAUUAUUUAUUGAUUCAUAAUUUUAUAAUAAUUUAUAUUUUAUAAUUAUGUAAUUGUUGACUUUAUUACUCAAUGUAACAUUAGUGUACUUCUGUAAAUAAUAUGUAGUGUACUUUCAUUGUAUAAUGGAUUUCUUAAUAUAUAAAUGUUGUUGAUUUUCAUUAUGGAACACAGAACUUGAUUAAUCAUCUUCAUUUCAUAAUCCAUUUUCAGCAUCAAUUUCUGCUUCAUUUUCUUUUUUCUUGUUUCUCUUAUUCUAUUAUUUUUGUGUAUGUAUCUGUUGUAGAUUUUUGGUUUCCAGAUACCAUAGGUUUUGAUAUAGCAAUCUAUAUAUACACAAGAUUGUCUUAAGUUGCUGGCCUCUUAAUUUCAAUACCUUAUUUAUUUUUAUUUUUACUUUUGGAAUAAUGUAAUUUAUGCCCAUGAUUAAUGAAGCAAUUGUCAAUUUUGUUGCUUAUAGUUAAUAUGCAUUCAAUUAUGUCAAAAUAUUUACCUCAUUUUUAGCUAUUCUCACUUGUAUGUUAGAUCUUUCUGAUCAAAUCAUUUUCUUUCUGCCUAAAGUACACCUGCAGAACUUCUCUAUUAAGAUUUGCAGAUUGUCGUCUCCACUUUUUAUUUUACCUAAAAUCGUCUUGUUUUUACACUUGUUCUUGAAAUAUAUAUUCAUUGAGUACAGGAUUCCAGCUUGACAUUUAAUUCAUUGGUACGCUGAAGAUAGUACCUUCAGGAUAAGGACACAGGAUUUACUCCUGGAUGGACCUCACAUUGAGAGUCCCAAUUCAUGAAAGUUCCACCUUUAUGAGACUUCUUACAGGAAGCCAUGAAAGACUCCCUAACUUGAGUAGUGCUGGGUAUUGUGCUCUGCAAACCAAAGCCCAAAAAGCAAUGUUAACAAGUAUGCAAUCACCAUUAGAGCAAUAGUAACUUUGGUGCUCUGCUGACCUCCGUGAACAGUAUUAUCCUUUCCUCCUUGUGUCCCAGCUUUCACUUACUCUCAAGCCAGCUCUUUUACAUGUAAGCCAAAAUUGCUUAAAAUAUUUUGUGUUAUUUUUCAGAGGAAGAUGUCUUAAGCCAGGCAUCUUGUUAGAAGCAAACUUGGCUAACACUUUACAGGUUGCAAAUAGUGAAAAUUUGUUUCAUUAUUUAGUAAAUAUUAUAUCUACUUUUGUUGUCAAUUUAAAUAUUUAUUUACAUAUUUGUUAGAUAUUAUUCUUGAGUUUCAUUUGUUCCUUGAACUAUAAAAUGAAAUAAUCUAUCUGGAAUGCCUUUCUUGCUUUAUGACUGAAACAGUUUAAUUUUUGCCUUCGAACUUAUCCCCAGGCCUACACCUACAACAGGAGGCUAAUAAUACACAUCUUACCCUUUAGAACUUAAUUUCUCUUUAUUUCUAUUUAGACCUGAUUUUUUUUCUAAUUAUUAUAGCUACACUUUUUCCUAGAAUCUAAGAUGCUUUCUCCAUGCUUUUGUUGCGGGAACUUGAUCCCUAUGUUUGUUCCUGUCUUAGUUUUGCUAAAUUAGGCAGUACUGUAAUACUCCUUGGACUGUAACAGGUAUCCUGCCACCUGGAUUCUAGCCAUGAUUUCUUGACUUCUAGGGCACAUCUCCUGGUAGCCUAUCUGCCUCUCACCUACUGGCUCUCAGCCUGGAAGCAGCCUUUCUGAGAGUCCCCUUGUCCUGUGAAAAACAAGUUCUGCAUGAAAAAGAUUAUUCAGGACGUAUUUCCAAUGUCCUAUAUCCAAAUUACUUAGGAGAACCUGUGACAUUAUCAUAUUAAUUUAGAAUCAAAGGAGUCUAAGAGAACUAGUGAGGAAAAGAUAAUUUAGGGUCAAAGGAGUAUAUAAGAACUACAGAGAAACAGAAAUUCAUGGAAAUCUCAUAGGGAAUAUUGCAUUUAAUAUUGGUUUGAUUCUUAACGUAUUAAUUUAGUUGGUUUCUUUUGUAUAGAUGUUUCAAAAUAGCUCAAGUUUCUUUAAUUGGUUCUGAAAUUUUCAAAUCUUAAAGUUCUCAAAAUUGUUAAAAUAUCUUAAGUCAUGAAGAAAGAAAUUCUUUAAUUAUUCAAACACUAAUUCAUACUUUAGAACAUUACAUCAUAAAUAUUUUAUUUUUUUUCAAAAAGAGGACAAAUGGAGUUCUCGUCGUGGCGCAGUGGUUAAUGAAUCCGACUAGGAACCAUGAGGUUACGGGUUUGAUCCCUGGCCUUGCUCAGUGGGUUAAGGAUCCCGCUGUAGGUCACAGACGCAGCUCUGAUCCCGUGUUGCUGUGGCCAGGGCGUAGGCCGGCAGAUACAGCUCUGAAUCAACCCCUGGCCUGGGAACCUCCAUAUGGUGUGGGAAGCGGCCCUAGAAAUGGCAAAAAGACAAAAAAAUGAAAAAAUAAAAAUAAAUAAAUAAAUAAAAAGAAGGACAUAGAUCCCCUCAACAGAUAAAAUUAUCAUCAAUGAUAUGUGACCUUGAAAGACUUGAAAACUUCACUUGACGAUUAAUUGUACAUGAUUGCUGCAUAAUUUAGGUUUCAUCCUUAUCCAUUCAGGUUAUACAUUUGAACCAAUUUUGCCUGUCUAUAUUGGCCAGCAGUUAACCACUCAAAUAGAAAUGCUUGCCUAUUUUUACACUAGUGUUUAGUGAGAGCAGUUUUGAAGUCAACAGUAAAUAAAUACAGCAUUAGAUUAUUCUGAUGGCACAAGUGUAAAGAUAUUUUCUAAUUAAUUUUUCAAUGGUUUGAAGUCUUAUUAAAUUACUGUAUUUUUGAAUGCAGUUUUGUGGUGUUUAGGUAUAAUUUUUGAGUAAAACCAAGCAUCGCUUUUUUCUUGUUGUUGUUGCUUUUUAGGACUGCACCCAACGCCAUAUGGAUGUUCCCAGGCUAGGGGUCCAAUCAGAGUUACAGCUGCUGGCCUACACCACGGCUCAAGGCAACAGCGGGAUAUUUAACCCACUAAGUGAGGCAACCUCAUGGCUCCCAGUCAGAUUUGUUUACACUGCACCACGACGGGAACUCCCCAAAACAAGCAUUACUCUCAAUUUCCCCUUUUCUUUCUCUACUUUACAUCCAAUUCCACAAUCUUGGUGGGUUCUAACUCCAAAAUAUACCAUGAAUUAUCUAUAUUCUUCCACCUUGAGUCUCUUCAGCUUAAUCUAAACCAGGGUUAAGUCUCUCAAGAACUAGUACAUUUUCCUAAUGGUUUUGUCCACUCUAACAACCUACCAUCCCCUUUUCCACACAGCAGCAUCAAGGGUGAUUUUAUUUUAUUUUGUUUUGAUUUUUACAUAAAUCAUAUCAUAAAUUCAUCUGUCUACAGGUCCACUGUGGAUUCCAUUGUGUUUUAUAUAAAAAUUUAAAAAAAUAGCUUUACAUAGUUUCUAAUAUCUUAUUAAAUCUUGCAUGGCCUCCUUCCUUUUUAUAUGAUUUUACCACUUUUUCCUGGCUUAUUAUGUUGUAGCCCCAAUGACCAUUUUGUUUUCCUUUUUCGAGAAGGUUUUCUCAAAACCUUUGUAAUCACUGAUUACUGUUCUCUCUUCCUAGGAUACACUUCCUCUUCCUUGAAAAUGUCUGAUUCUAGUAUGGUUUUUGUCUUACUUCAGGUACCAGGCUUAGGUGAGGCUUUCCUUUCUAGUGUUAUUCUCCUCUACACAUUUAUCUGUCACUGUCCAUAAAAUUAUUAUGAAAUGAUCUUAUCUAUGCAUUUUAACUUAUUUAUGCUCUGUAUACUUUACUGAAUUUUUUUGUUUUAUGAAAUCAGGGAUUUUGUUUCUUUUCAUUUUCUAUCCUCCACAGCUAGAAAGAAACCUGGCACAUGUAGAUAGCAUUAUUGAAUAAAUUAAUGAACAGAAUGAUAUAAAUAACAUUUAUUCAAAACCAAACUGUAAAGUGUGAAUAUUUAGUAAUUUAUAAAACUGAGUUAAGAACUUUCCCCCAGAUUGAAGUAUCAUUAAGAAGGAAAUGAGGGAAUUCCCUGCUGUGGCUUGGGUCACCACUGUGGCAUGGGUUCAAUCCCUAGCCCUGAAAAUUU
RNAcentral lists this long non-coding RNA (4853 nucleotides) under Sus scrofa (pig). RNAcentral describes it as "lncRNA (ENSSSCG00000054620.1)". The record is from RNAcentral. Lineage: Eukaryota; Metazoa; Chordata; Mammalia; Artiodactyla; Suidae.